AGCGUAGGCGGAUUUUUAAGUGGGAUGUGAAAUACCCGGGCUCAACCUGGGUGCUGCAUUCCAAACUGGGAAUCUAGAGUACAGGAGGGGAGAGUGGAAUUCCUAGUGUAGCGGUGAAAUGCGUAGAGAUUAGGAAGAACACCAGUGGCGAAGGCGACUCUCUGGACUGUAACUGACGCUGAGGCUCGAAAGCGUGGGGAGCAAACAGGAUUAGAUACCCCUGUA
RNAcentral lists this ribosomal RNA (225 nucleotides) under uncultured Clostridium sp. RNAcentral describes it as "partial 16S ribosomal RNA". It matches the Rfam family "Bacterial small subunit ribosomal RNA", at positions 568 to 792 of the family's 1533-position model. Lineage: Bacteria; Bacillati; Bacillota; Clostridia; Eubacteriales; Clostridiaceae. The record is from RNAcentral.